This 427-nucleotide ribosomal RNA is filed under the name uncultured bacterium. RNAcentral describes it as "bacterial SSU rRNA". It matches the Rfam family "Bacterial small subunit ribosomal RNA", at positions 355 to 774 of the family's 1533-position model. The record is from RNAcentral.
UGGGGAAUAUUGGACAAUGGGCGAAAGCCUGAUCCAGCCAUGCCGCGUGUGUGAAGAAGGUCUUCGGAUUGUAAAGCACUUUAAGUUGGGAGGAGGGGCUGCAAGUUAAUACCUUGUAGUUUUGACGUUACCAACAGAAUAAGCACCGGCUAACUUCGUGCCAGCAGCCGCGGUAAUACGAAGGGUGCAAGCGUUAAUCGGAAUUACUGGGCGUAAAGCGCGCGUAGGUGGUUUGGUAAGAUGGAUGUGAAAUCCCCGGGCUCAACCUGGGAACUGCAUCCAUAACUGCCUGACUAGAGUACGGUAGAGGGUGGUGGAAUUUCCUGUGUAGCGGUGAAAUGCGUAGAUAUAGGAAGGAACACCAGUGGCGAAGGCGACCACCUGGACUGAUACUGACACUGAGGUGCGAAAGCGUGGGGAGCAAACA